AGAGCCUAGUGCCAGCACAUACCCAGACUGUGUGAUCCCAUUUCUCGUUGGAAUGAACAUGGAAAACAACUAAGUUUCCAGAGAUGGCUUCAUCUUCUUGAUUCAUAUUUUGCCAUAUUUUAUGAAUUUCCAAUUUUUUUUCAGACUUCAUAUAAUUGGCAUUUAAAUGAGACUCCAGAUCUGAAAUCCAUCCUCCUUGGACUGAACUGACCUCCGGAGGUUUUCCACAGCUUUGGACAAGUCAGUCAGAAGACUCCAGUGGUCAUGAUUAAAUGUUGACAGAUGUGGGAAUGAAUGUCAGGGCUUAGCAUUUUCAGGAAAUACGAGGCUAUUUUCUAACAUGGCUGCACCUUGUACAGUAGAGCCCUGGCAGUGUCACCAGCACACAUAGCUCAAAGCCAAUAGCAUCACUGCCACCAACAAGGACCUAAAGGAGACCGUACAAUAGUUGUCUUCUGGAUCUGGGUUUCACAUGCAUUUCCUCCAACUUUAUCCGCCUCUGGGACUCCCUUGGAUUGCUGAAUAGUUAUUCACAUGUAUACACAUAUCACAUUUUGUUUAUCAGUCCUGGAAAUGAUUCUUAACUAUGACAUGAAAACCAUAGCAACAAAAGGAGAAGAAAGUGAAGCAACACCAGAGCAAAAAUCCCCUGUGCAGUCAUCGAUCAAGCAAAGGUUCCCGUCUUGAAGGGUUGAAAAGCCAUCCUGGUACAAGUAUAAAUUCUAUGAGCCCUAGAUGGAGAAGAAGCCACUGUGACCUGUCACCUGAGGAAGGAGGCAACAAGGCUUGAUUUGUUGCAUCUUACACUUGACAGUUGUAAGCACUGACAUCCAGGUUCAUCUCAGAAGUUUUCUAAACUAACACACGAUAGGUGAACAUUUCUUACAACUUGGAAUAAAUCCUUGUUUGUUGUC
This 914-nucleotide long non-coding RNA is filed under the name Mus caroli (Ryukyu mouse). RNAcentral describes it as "predicted gene, 31739 (MGP_CAROLIEiJ_G0005796.1)". Lineage: Eukaryota; Metazoa; Chordata; Mammalia; Rodentia; Muridae. The record is from RNAcentral.